This 159-nucleotide ribosomal RNA is filed under the name Helotiales sp. Rf28. RNAcentral describes it as "5.8S ribosomal RNA". It matches the Rfam family "5.8S ribosomal RNA". Rfam says of the family: 5.8S ribosomal RNA (5.8S rRNA) is a component of the large subunit of the eukaryotic ribosome. It is transcribed by RNA polymerase I as part of the 45S precursor that also contains 18S and 28S rRNA. Lineage: Eukaryota; Fungi; Ascomycota; Leotiomycetes; Helotiales. The record is from RNAcentral.
AAACUUUCAACAACGGAUCUCUUGGUUCUGGCAUCGAUGAAGAACGCAGCGAAAUGCGAUAAGUAAUGUGAAUUGCAGAAUUCAGUGAAUCAUCGAAUCUUUGAACGCACAUUGCGCCCUGUGGUAUUCCGCGGGGCAUGCCUGUUCGAGCGUCAUUAU